GACGAACGCUGGCGGCGUGCUUAACACAUGCAAGUCGAACGGAAAGGCCCUGCUUUUGUGGGGUGCUCGAGUGGCGAACGGGUGAGAAACACGUGAGUAACCUGCCCUUGACUUUGGGAUAACUUCAGGAAACUGGGGCUAAUACCGGAUAGGAGCUCCUGCUGCAUGGUGGGGGUUGGAAAGUUUCGGCGGUUGGGGAUGGACUCGCGGCUUAUCAGCUUGUUGGUGGGGUAGUGGCUUACCAAGGCUUUGACGGGUAGCCGGCCUGAGAGGGUGACCGGCGACAUUGGGACUAAGAUACGGCCCAGACUCCUACGGGAGGCAGCAGUGGGGAAUAUUGCACAAUGGGCGGAAGCCUGAUGCAGCAACGCCGCGUGCGGGAUGACGGCCUUCGGGUUGUAAACCGCUGUCGCCUGUGACGAAGCGUGAGUGACGGUAAUGGGUAAAGAAGCACCGGCUAACUACGUG
Molecule: ribosomal RNA, 468 nt
Filed under: uncultured bacterium
Lineage: Bacteria
Description: partial 16S ribosomal RNA
Rfam family: Bacterial small subunit ribosomal RNA
Source: RNAcentral